AGUUCGGAUUGAGGCUGAAACCCGCCUCCAUGAAGUUGGAUUCGCUAGUAAUCGCGCAUCAGCCAUGGCGCGGUGAAUACGUUCCCGGGCCUUGUACACACCGCCCGUCAAGCCAUGGGAGCCGGGGUGCCUGAAGUUCGUUACCGCAAGGAUCGACCUAGGGCAAAACUGGUGACUGGGCUAAGUCGUAACAAGGUACC
Molecule: ribosomal RNA, 200 nt
Filed under: uncultured bacterium
Lineage: Bacteria
Description: partial 16S ribosomal RNA
Rfam family: Bacterial small subunit ribosomal RNA
Source: RNAcentral